Manis javanica (Malayan pangolin) is the source of this 453-nucleotide non-coding RNA. The record is from RefSeq and is a predicted model, not a curated record. Lineage: Eukaryota; Metazoa; Chordata; Mammalia; Pholidota; Manidae.
GAGUGUCCUACAAGGCUUGUGUGGGUGACGGCAAGCCCGAUCCAUUUCUGCACCCUUCCUCCACAAUCUUAAGAGUGUAUAGAGAGGCCUGAACUGGGCGCAGUCAUGUAUAUGGUCCAGAUGGUCUCAGCACAUCUCAUGGCUGUGCCCUUGGGGCAGCUUCCGGGAGCAGGACAGCAAGCAGGAUGCACAUCCUAAGGACAUGGGAGCAGAAGAAGAUAAAUUCCUGGGCCCUGAUCCAUUUAGACUGGAGUCAACUCAUUAAAGGUGUUGGAAAUGUCUCUUGGUUGCUCAGGAUUUGGAUCACAGACCUUUCUCAGGAGCUGUGGGUGUGUCAGCCGUCACACUGAAGGGAAUGGAGGCCCAAGGAGCAUCAGAGGCUCCCAGACAUGUCUGCUGGAGAUCAGAAGGCUGAGGAUCCUCUGAUGAACUCCCCCCAGAGGCACCAGCCCC